Molecule: long non-coding RNA, 2228 nt
Organism: Fukomys damarensis (Damara mole-rat)
Lineage: Eukaryota; Metazoa; Chordata; Mammalia; Rodentia; Bathyergidae
Exons: 3
Source: RefSeq, a predicted model, not a curated record
GAACCAAGACCUGUCAUGUAAAGAAUGUAACAACAACAACAACAAAAAAGCAGAGGCCAGUGAAAAUGCAAGAAAAACUACAGUGAAGGAGACAGCCCUCACAGGAAAGAAUUAUCCAGCAUAAAAUGUCAGUACUGAUAUGCCUGAGAAACUUUGGACUACAUGAACAACAAAUGAAGACAAUCAUAAAUUACAAUGAUUACUGAGGCUACAGACACAAAAUUAUGAUACUUGCCUUGGACUUUUUUCCCCCCUUCAUUAUUAAUUCCAAGAAGUGACAAAGGAAAGAGCUGAGAGACAAAUCCCGUAACUACCACUGCAUUUAACUUUAAAGAUAUGGAAAGGGUGCUAAAUUUAAUAACUAGCAGAGAAAGUUAUAUUUGGAUUGAUUUACUUACAUUAAACCUAUUGUUCAUCAGAACAUGCUCAAGUCAGUUGUAGUGUAAAAUGUCCUAAUGGGCAGUUUAGCUUUGAAAAGCUGCCUCUUGGGGUUAAGGGACUUUGCUGGCAGGCCCUGGUGCAUUUGUGGUCACACUGGGAAGCUCUUUCCCGGUAAUGUGAUGGUGGGAAGGCCACACUGUUCUCCACUUCAAAAGUUCCUUCCAAGUUACUAAAAUGUGCUUCAAAAUCAUUUGCUAGACAAAAAUAAUAGAUGCUGUAUCAUACUGUUCUUGUCAGAUUUCUCUGCCGUGAUAUUCACUGUGCAGCAACUUAUAUAUUUCUUUCUGGUUAAAAACAAACACAAACAAAUACUAAUCCAACACAUUAGGAAGAAAGAUGACUUGGAUCCAAAUGCUAAUUAGAAGGAAGAGAAUUCUAAGACCUUCUGUAGCCCUGUGCCAGGAGGUCCUUCAAGAAAUAGGUUACAAAUAAAGUAGAGCUUUGGCAUUUUCAUAUUUACAUUUAUUUGAAAAGAUGCACAUGCUUUAAAGGGACGGCACGAAACAUUACCUACAGAGAACCACCAUUUCUUCUUCUACAUUCACGAUCCUCUUCUGCAAUCAAUGGAUUACAGAUGGUUUUAUUCCUGUAAUUCAGCUGUGAGAAAGAGUGUCCUAUAUCCCUGACCCUACAUCAACUGACAGAGACUCCAGCCCUCUGAGCGAAUGAGGGGUUCUUCCUGAAAGAAUUUUCAAAACUAUUUAUGCUUGUUCCUUGAAGUCAAAAGAUUAGAUGUUAAUCACGUUAAGUAAAUCUUAGCAGGAAUCAGUUAUACUGCCCCAUGCUUUCCAAACCAGGGAAUAUUAUCUUAAUUUGAACUUUUGUAUCAUACAGUCAGACUGUUUUAAUAAUAGUCAGUGGUGCAUGUGGGCUGCAGCAAAAUACUGUCUUGGCCAGAGAGACUGAGGUGUGGGAAGUUGUUAUGUCUGGUUUCCCAGAGUAACACUACACACUUUGACUUUCAACGUGUUUGCAACAAACAUCUGUUAAACACUGGUGUGCUAGACAUUAUGCUAUUUAUGAAGACAGAGAGGUUACCAAGAUGUGAGUGCUGCCCUCAUAAAGCUUACUGUGUAGUAGCAAAGAGAGACAAAUAAAUUGGGCUGAUAAUUACCAUUUUCUAAAUGUGCUUAAUAGAUAUGGGAACAGCACUCUUCUGGGAGAGUCAAAGGAUAAGUUUAACUCUUAAAUGAAAAUAUCUGUAUUGCCUAAUUGAAAAUAUCUGAUCCUAAAUAUUCAUGUAAAAAGUUAUGAACAAAGAUGAGAAAGUAAAAUGACUUUAAACUCAUUACUGAGAAAUAACUACUGAUGCUAUUUUGGUAUAGUUUCUCCAGAAAUGUUAUAGAUAGUAUUAUAUAGUGUACUUGUUUACCAGAGUCUUCCUCACAAUAAACACUUAGUCUACCUAGUCAACCUGCAUUGUGAGAAAUUUCCUCCUUUUUAUCUUUGUUGGUUCGGAGAUCAGACGACCAAACUUAUUUGGAUGAUGUCUAAAAAGACCAAAUUUCACUGAACACAGGUCUAAAGGCCUCUUCUCAGAGACCAGAGCCUGAGCUUUAGCACAUGGUUUCUAUUUUGACUCCUUAAAGGCCCCUUUCCCACUCGCUUCCUUGGUUUUAGCUGUGUUCCUGGUACUUGAGGUUAUUGGACAGAUGACCUCUCCAUAAGUGAGCUGCUUUUUUCUAAAUGUAGUUCCUGACUUAUAGAAACUAAUGAGAAUUUGGCAAUGCUUGGCUAUUAAUAGCUUGUCACUAUUAAGCAGUGAGCAAAAGUGGCCUCAAUUUUAA